AGGAAGAAAGCAGUAGAUAUAAGUAAGUUUCUCGAGAUUCUAGGUGCGGAUUCGCAGCACUUUUUGUGACAUCUGUUUAUCAGGAAGGCCUCAAAGCCUUAGUCACUUCACCUGAAGGAGCUAGCUUCUCUGCUGAGCCCGAUCUCUGUGUCGUAGGGCAGAAAGUGGCUCAGGAUGAGUGAGCCUCGGCUUUGAGAAAGGCCGUCUGCGCUUUUCUCCGUUGGGCAGCUGAUGCUUUAGUGGCACAUCAUGGCCCAACGGGCAGUGUGGCUCUUAAGCCACGAACCUGGAACUCCACUUCGUGGCAUCCUCAGAUUCUCCAGACGGUAUCCAACUGUUGAGAAACGAGCCAGAGUCUUCAAUGGAGCAAGUUAUGUGCCUAUUCCUGAAGAUGGUCCCUUUAUCAAAGCACUACUCUUCGAACUUAGAUUAUUGGAUGAUGAUAAGGGCUUUGUGGAGAGUCGUGAUAGCUGUUCACACAUCAAUAAAACGUCUGUCUAUGGACUCACAGUAGGAGGUGAAGAACUCUGGCCAGUUGUUGCUUUUCUGAAGAAUGGCAUGAUAUAUGCCUGUGUUCCACUAGUUGAACAAACUUUAUCCCCUCGACCACCAUUAAUUAGCGUUAGUGGAAUUUCACAAGCCUUUGAACUUCUUUUCGGGUUACAGGAUUUUCUUCACUCAGGUAAAAAAAAUGACACUGAGCUAAAUACAAAAUUGAGCCAGUUACCUGACUUGCUUCUGCAGGCUUGUCCAUUUGGAACUUUGUUAGAUGCCAACUUACAGAAUUCACUGGAUGGUAUUAAUUUUGCUUCUGUGCCUCAUACACAAAAACAGCCAGCUUGGAGAGCUGGAAUAUACAAAGGAAAACCACAAGUUUCUAUUUCUAUCACUGAAAAGGUAAAAUCCAUGCAGUAUGGCAAACAGGAUAUUGCAGAUACAUGGCAAGUCGUUGGAGCUGUCACUUGCAAGUGUGAUUUAGAAGGAAUCAUGCCAAAUGUUACCAUCAGCUUGAGUCUCCCAACCAAUGGAUCUCCACUUCAGGAUAUUCUAGUUCAUCCUUGUGUGACUUCUCUUGAUUCUGCCAUUCUGACUUCUAGUAGCAUUGAUGCAAUGGAUGAUUCUGCAUUUAGUGGACCUUACAAAUUUCCAUUCACUCCACCAUUAGACUCAUUCAGCUUAUGCUACUACACUUCCCAGGUCUCUGUCCCACCAAUUUUGGGUUUUUAUCAAAUGAAAGAGGAAGAAAUACAACUAAAAAUAACAGUUAAUUUAAAACUUCAUGAAAGUGUGAAAAAUAAUUUUGAAUUCUGUGAAGUUCACAUACCUUUUUACAAUAGAGGUCCAGUUACACAUGUGGAAUACAAAGUUAGUUUUGGCCAACUUGAAGUAUUUCGAGAGAAAAGCUUACUCAUCUGGAUUAUUGGAACGAAGUUCCCAAAAUCAAUGGAAAUUAGUCUUUCUGGAACUGUAACUUUUGGAGCCAAGAGCCAUGAGAAGCAGCCAUUUGAUCAGAUUUGCAUUGGAGGUACAACAUAUUUAAAGCUUCAUUUUAGGAUCUUAGAUUACACCCUCACAGGGUGUUAUGCAGAUCAGCAUUCAGUUCAAGUUUUUGCAUCAGGAAAACCAAAAAUAAAUACACGCCGGGAACUAAUUUCUUCUGACUAUUACAUCUGGAAUUCCAAAGCUCCUGCUCCAGUAACAUAUGGAUCUUUAUUACUGUAAUCACCUCAUGUUUAAAUGGCACUAUUACAAUGGUAACAUAGCUUAAAUUAAAUUAUAGUCUUUUAAUAUGUAUACUUAUAACCUCUGGGGAAAAAAUCAUUGAAUAAUUUAAUUAUAAAAUGCUCUUUAAUGUUUUUAGUCUGACAUAAUUUGAAAGAACUUUUUAAAGACUGAUAUCUCCAAUUCUGUUACCCUUUGAUUUUACACAACUAUGAUUCCAAGCAUAAAACAGUACUGAUUGACUGUAGGCUUGUUUUAGACUAGUCUUGGGUCAUCCUGCCAUACUUGUUCUUUCCUGCUUCUGUGGCAGACAUGGCUAAUCAGUCAUGGCCCUUUUUCACCACUGAGCCUUUCUGGAUAUGGGCUCAGGCUUCUUCUCAAUGCAGACAUACAAACAGCUACUCCCAAUGGAUUAGAGAUAACAUGCAAUAGAAAAAAACUCUUCGUUCUUCCAAACGUUAGUGCUAAGCUCCUAGUACAACAUGUUAUUACAGAAUACCAGCCAACUAACUACAUAGGAAACAAUUGAAAAUCUCUUUAAAAAAUAGCUAAUAUGAAGAAAAUUUGUUUAAAUAGUAGCUUGUUCUUAAUCAGAACUGCCAUAUUAACUAAUAAAGAAUCUGUAUAAUUCUAUUUAAGGUGUUUAUCUCUGUUCUAGAGUUACUUUUCAGGUAAGCUUAUUAAUCUGCCACAAAAAUAUUUUACUUAGGAUGUCAGUAAGCACACUGAGAGGGAUAGGAUACCUUCAGAAGGUGAGCAGUGUUUUGUGAUUACUUAGUAUCUACAGCCAAAUUUUCAAACGUAAAGCUAGGUAUAAUUGCUUUUCUCAUGUUGUGUUAUAUUAAAAUUUAUUAAUGAAUUCAAGUAAAAAUUCGAAAGCUAUUCUGUGGGUAGGGAGUAUCAUUUAAUCUUAUUUUUCAGUCUCAUGUAGCAUAUUUUCUUUAAAUUUGUCACUCUUACUUCCUUAUUAGCAUUCUCUUGGUUUCUUCAGGAACCAUCCAGUCAUACUUUUUAUUCUCCGCCUGUCUUUACAAUUAUAUUUCUUUCUGGUUCAAAACAGUUCUCAUUGUCAAAUUGGACUUGAGUAUUCAACAAAGAUGAAAUCUCAAGUUCUUCAAAGCUCAAUCCAUGUUGUUUCUUUUUACAGAACAGAAUUAGAAGCAUUAUAAAAAUGUAUAUUACAGAUUAAUAUUCAAUUAAAUUCUUUCGGUUUCUCAGAAAACCUUAGAGAAAGCUGCUAACUCUUCAGGAAAGCUAUGAUAGUUUGAAGAGAUAUUGCAUAUAAAUUCAGGAUUUGAAAUAGAUUUUUUAAUUAAGGUCAAUUGUACUCAUUAUAAGUUUUCACCUUCUGCAAGGCAUAAUGUUCUAUGUCCAAAAUUAUCCCAAGGAACAAAGAAAACAGAAUAAAACUACCUGACCAGGACUUUAACUUGUUAUUCUAGCUUAAUCAUAGAUAAUCAGGAGUAAAAACUACCCUUCUGAAAAAAUGAAAAAAAUCAUUCCCUUAAAGUUAUUGGUUUCUCUUAAAAAUCAAGGAAAGUUUAACAUUUAAUUUAUGUUAAUUUUAAUCCAGCCAUUGGGACACUUGAUUGUCUAAAUGUUUGGCAAGGUACACUAAGAAUGCAAAAGGCAUUUAUCUAGUGAGUAGGCAGAGGUUCAGUGUAACAGUCACCUAGGGAAACUUUCUUCAUAAACAGUUAGGAAAACCAGUGAGUCUUUGGACUUCUUAGAAACCUGAGGAAAAUCUAGGGAGUCCUGGAAAAGUUCAGGGACGAAGGAGAACCUGAUGCCAUCUGUUGCCAUUCGUCCGAACAUAAUGUUACAGAACUAAAACCAACUUCUGUUUUCAUCCCCAUGAGAUCAGCUGGGCACACUAUGUUGCUUUUGAUUUUGUCUACAAACCUGUCACUUCAGGAUAAUUUCUGAAGACAAAGUCCGUUUCCCGUUUGGUAGGUGACCUGUUUUAAUGUUUUCCCUGUGUCUGGGAACUCCUUAGUGUAAUUAGCGACCUUUGAACUCCACAACUAAUCCUGAGCUAUUUUGUAUUCCUUACUCAUCUUUAAGGCUGGACCUUUCUUUUCUUCUGAGUCUGCUGCCACAAUUAAAGAAGAAACAGCUGCAUUUCAAAGGGAUUCCGAUUCCAGAAGCUUAAUCGUGAUUGACAUGUUCUUAUUCUAAGCUUAUUUCAAACUACUUUGUAGACAGUCAUAGACUCCUGCAUCGCCCCUGGGAGAUAGGUAGGUCGAGUUAUCAUUCAGAGCCUCUGUGGGGAUGGCUGCCAAAGCAGAACGGUUGUUCCUAAGACAAAGGUCAGAAAAGGGUUGUUAAUCAACAGUCCUCAGGUUUAAGGGACUUUUUUAGGAUUACAUCUUAAAUUCCAACAAAUCAGAUUUAGGAGUUACUGAAAGUGAAAUUGAUCCAUCCCUCAUCCAAACUUUGCAAUACUUUCCUGUUCUGACAUCAUUUAGAUAGUUAGCUGUAUUAUCAGAUUAGAAACCAUUGUACCAGGCUGCUGAAAGGAAAAGGAGGCAAAAAGCUAAACAUGGGAUGAAUUCUGAACCUUUUAACCUGGCUGAAGUACGUUGCUCCCUGUUAUGCAAAUACUUUCAAUCCUCUGCUAAGUUCAGUGGAAAUAAUUUUCUUGAAUGACAGGUUUAUUCAGCAAGGAUUCAGUUGGUGAUUAAUCCCCCUUUGAUCUAGGGUAUUUCACUUAACUACCAGUUACCUCGUUCUGACAAAGUGCAACUGAGAUUAGGGAGAUCACUAGAAUACUACCAGGGUGUGCGUUUAUUCUCUCUAACCUUUUAAAGCAAGGGCCAAGAAUGUAAUUUAUUUUCAGUAUUUGAAGAUGUAAAGUCUUGUCUGCUAAGUUAGAAAGUCAAUUGAAUACUAAAUGAAGUUUAUUUCUUACGUAAUAGAACAAACAUUUCUUUUUGCUUUGCCUAACAAUGAUUUUAGGAAAACACAGGCUUUGAAGAAAGAAGAAACAAAGACUAUAUUCUAAGCAUGUCUUCCAGUUACGUGUAGUAGAGUGUAUACUUAUUGGCCCUGCAGUGGUUACAACUUAGGUUGAGAAAAUGCUUCCAUUUUAUUAAACUGCAAGGUUUCUACCAGCCCUCCUGCCCCCAUUAAAAAAUGCCAUGCUAUGUGGUUAAGAUCCAACUGGGGAAAGCAAGUUGUAAUACACAAUUAUUCACCUUAAGACUUCUGAUUCCAAAGCUUUACUUGUUAACUUAGUCCUUUUGUGAGCAAAAGCAGCUUGUUCUGUUACCAUAAGAAUAAUUGCAUUCAUUUUCAGAAUUUUUUUUUAUCAAGUAAAGGAUGCCAUGCAAAAAUAACUUCAAAGUGUUUCAAAUUUCAGGAUAACUGUCUUCCACAGUAUUAUUAGUCCUACUUUUUCUGCCUUUUUCUCAUCUAACUUUGGGUACUCUCUUCUAUAACUUUAAAGUUUAAAGUAUUCUAUGGAUUUUUAUGCAGUAUUUUAAGAAUAAAAUUUUAAGAUGUGUCUCAUGUUAGCUUUCUCAAAUAAUUCACUUUUUAAAACAAUGUCUUUGUCAACAUUUUAUCCAGCAAGAUGUGAAAUUAGGGGAUUUUAUUCCUCAAGUGUAUUUUAAUACCCUAAAAAAAGAAACAUAAUGAUUUGUAACAAAAUUUGUUUUUAAAUGUUAGAUCAUUAUUAGUGAUUAAUUUUAUUAUUAGUGAUGAAGUCUCUUAAAAAUGCUUUGUAACUGUUCUUUAUUCUGCAGUUUGCAAUUCAGAUUGUGUAUGUUGAUAGUUUUCUCUAACAUUUUGGCUCAAACUUUUUGUGAUGCAGUUUCUAAAUUGAAACAAUAACUCAAAGAAGUGCAUGUUUCCCUCAUUUUAGUGCCAAACCAGCCUCUCUAGUUUAGAAAACAAACUGUUUCUAAACAUCUUCUGAUAGCAAGUUACUUAACUGCAGCAAAAUUGAGGUUCAAAAGUAUGUAAGAUGGAAGGCAGGGUCCCCUGUCUAUGUUGCUAAAAACUAUUAUUUUUGAUAAUUGACUACUCUAUGUAGUAAAUAUUUAGUUAAUAAAGUAUUAUAUUUUGAAAUAAUGCCAUCGGAGAAAGAAUCUAUAUAAAACAUGCAUGUGUAUGGAUUUAUGUAAUAUAGCAUGUCUGACUUAGUGGGUUUUCCUAUGCAGUGCUUGAGUAUCAUGUCAGAGGAAGAAUAAUAUUUAAAGCCAAAUAUUCAAAUAUCUUACUUCCAAACACAGUUAUUAGUAAUGAGGUUCAUUAAAAUAAAAAUUGCCAAAGAACUUGUGAUAUUACUUUUAUAAAAUGGUUAAAAACUCUUAUAUGAGUUAACACAACUAAUCUCUAAUUUUUUUCAUCAGUUGUUUUGUAGAUACAGUAAUAUUAUUGUCCAUAGAUAGCCUGGAGCAGUGCAAUGCCUUAUCUGUAUUAUUAGUUAAAUGCAUUGUAAGCAGGUUACUCUGAGGCCCAGGUUGAUUUCUCUAUGGCUCUAGCUAAUCUGUAUAAUUGUUGGCAGUGUGGUACUAAUGUAUGAUGUACUGCAUUUACAGACUGAUGGAUGGAUGCCCUGGGAUAGAAACCACCUGCUGAAUUGUUCUUACGAAGAUUCAUUUAAAUAAUCCAUCAAACAUUUAAAGUCAAACAGUUUUCUUUAAAUGUCUUCUUUUUAAGUGGUAGUUUCUGUAAAAAAUAUGAUUGUUUCAUUGACACACUACUACUAAUAAUAAUGAAAAAUAAAAUACUGUUAUCCCUCUUAAAA
Molecule: non-coding RNA, 6475 nt
Organism: Manis javanica (Malayan pangolin)
Lineage: Eukaryota; Metazoa; Chordata; Mammalia; Pholidota; Manidae
Source: RefSeq, a predicted model, not a curated record